AGUCUGACAUGUGCGCAAGCCGUCGCGCCAACGAAGCGCAGAGGGCGAAGUGAAAGCGUUGGUCGACGUCCCCGUCGACCGUGGUCGGGAUCCGGCGGGCAGGCUUAAGAGCGACCCGCCGGCGCACCGACCGUCCGCCUCGAUGCCGUACCGUUCGGCUUGGCGGAACGUGAGCGGACACGUCGGGACCCGAAAGGUGGUGAACUAUGCCUGGGCAGGACGAAGCCAGAGGAAACUCUGGUGGAGGUCCGCAGCGAUUCUGACGUGCAAAUCGAUCGUCAGACCUGGGUAUAGGGGCGAAAGACUAAUCGAACCGCCUAGUAGCUGGUUCCUUCCG
This 337-nucleotide ribosomal RNA is filed under the name Anoplodactylus lentus. Its description in RNAcentral is "eukaryotic LSU rRNA". It matches the Rfam family "Eukaryotic large subunit ribosomal RNA", at positions 672 to 963 of the family's 3401-position model. Lineage: Eukaryota; Metazoa; Arthropoda; Pycnogonida; Pantopoda; Phoxichilidiidae. The record is from RNAcentral.